UCAAAUGCGAAGAACAGGACAAUGCUUUUCUGAGUAUCUACGCAUGGCAGAGAGCUUUCGGUUGGUGAGAGAAAGCAGCGCGACAGAAAAGAUAUCACCUGCAAGCAGUCUGUAUGAAAACAGGAAACUGUAAGUAAGACAGACCGGGGUCCCGCCGUUAAAAGGGAGCGUAUUCGUCCGGACAGAGAGUCGGAGGAUAGGACAGAGUGGUCGGUGCAAACCGGCAAUAAGAAGUGGUAACGCGGAGUUUGGAACUUCGUCUUCUUG
This 267-nucleotide non-coding RNA is filed under the name Clostridium sp. RNAcentral describes it as "T-box sequence". It matches the Rfam family "T-box leader". Rfam says of the family: Uncharged tRNA acts as the effector for transcription antitermination of genes in the T-box leader family. T-boxes are found upstream of many aminoacyl-tRNA synthetase genes and some amino acid biosynthetic genes usually in Gram-positive bacteria. The record is from RNAcentral. Lineage: Bacteria; Bacillati; Bacillota; Clostridia; Eubacteriales; Clostridiaceae.